Molecule: non-coding RNA, 244 nt
Organism: Caenorhabditis elegans
Lineage: Eukaryota; Metazoa; Nematoda; Chromadorea; Rhabditida; Rhabditidae
Source: Ensembl
UUUUGCUUACUUUAGUUUCUACGUGUUUUGAAACCGAUUUUUUGAUGACAAGAUUCAAAUUCCUAUAGAAUUAAUCCAAACCGCAAUCAAACGUGUGAUCAGAUUAAACUAUAACACGUUGUAAACAGAAUCACUUGAAAAAUGAGUUCCAAUGAACUAAAAAAAAGCAUAGGUUCCACCGAGAUUUGAACUCGGGUCGCAGGAUUCAAAGUCCUGAGUGCUAACCGCUACACCAUGGAACCGG